AGCUUCUUGAGUUAGUCUUCAGAUCUCUUAUUUUUAUUUUUUAGUAUAAUUGUCUCUAUAUGUUGCAUUUUUGGGAAUUCCUCAUCACUCUGUUCAAGUGAACUAGUGUCUUUCUUACUAAGUCAGGCUAGAGUAUUCUAUCCACUGAGUUAUGUAUUUUGUUGUCUAUGUUUUUCAUUCUUAACAUUUCUAAUUGCUGCUUUCACAUUUUCACUGUACCUAUUUUAUUUCUGCUUAGUUUUCAUUGACAAUUUAUUAAUAGAUUUUUUUCACCAUUUAUCUCUGAGGAUCUUACACAUAGGUAUUUUAAAGUCCUUUUUAGAAUUAAGUGCAGCAAUUUCAUGCUGAUUUUGUAGUUUGGCUUUUCUCGUGUGAUUUUUCUCUUGAGGUUGGGUCCAGGUCUUCCCAGCUCCUUAGGCCCGAGCUUCCUAUGAGCCAUAGUUGUAGGCAGUGUUUGGGAGUGUAGCUUUGUUUUAGUCAUCUUUCACAAGUCAGAAAGCUCUCCCUAAGUCCCUGGUUUUAAGAAGGGACCCUGGAUCCUGUAUUCUGCCCUCAGGGAGGGUGUAUUUAUUCUCUACUACACCCAGGAGGAAGCUCUGCUUUUCUUCCAGGCAUUGAACCAACAAAGCUGGUGCCCAAGUCAUCAUCUUGCAGUUUUUUCCGUUCUCAUAGCAAGGAAGGAUUUAUCUUAUUCUUUAGCUUGGCUUUGCCUUUUUAUUUAUUUAUUUUUAAGUACUUUAUGUUUCAUUGCUAUUUGUUCAGACAGGGAGGAAGUGGCCCUCAAGAAAUGAAUUUACAAGUUUAUAUUAACACUGAGGCCCCCUGUUGGUCAUUAGAUCAGAAACAGUGUUUUAUUUUGUUUUGCUUUUUUUUUCUUUUUUGGGGAAGGGGAAGACGUGAGGAAGAUUGGCCCUGAGCCAACAUCUGUUGCCAAUCUUCCUCUUUUUGCUUGAGGAAGAUUGCUGGUGAGCUAACAUCUGUGCCAAUCUUCCUCUACUUUAUGUGGGAUGCCACCACAGCAUGGCUCAAUGAGCAGUGCCAGGCCUGCACCAUGGAUCUGAACCCAUGAACCCCGGGCUUCGGAACCCAACCACUACACCACUGAGUUGGCCCCUUGUUUUACAUUUUUAAGUUAUGUCUAACACUCAAGUUGUUUUCAGUUAUGUGGAGCCCUUUGACAGGAAUCAAGAGAGAAGAACAGAGACUAUGAGGUUUCCCAUGUGGUCCUGAGUUUUAUUAUAGUGGUGAAUCUAGAUCCACACAGAUCGGGGAAUAAAUACUAUUUUUUCCAUAAUGGUAGAAACAAGUGGUUUAAUCUCUUUGAGCCCUGGUUUCCCCAUCUAUAACAUGGGAAAAUUGUUUCAACAUUUUUGUUUUUUUUAAGGAUUAAAUAGAGUGUAUAUGAAGUAUAUACCACAGUGACUGGCUCUGUAUCUUCACAGAGAGUAACAAAAAACCAACUCAGAUGCUUAAGCAAAAUGUAAAUUGACUGGCAUAUUUUACCGGAAGUUCAGAGAUAGGGUGGGUUUACAGACUAACCUAAUCCAGUGUCUCCAGUCGUGAUCCUUGUGAUUCCCCUGGAUGUACACUCUUCAUAUAUCUACUUCUUGUAUAAAUGUUACUAUAUCUCCUCGUCAGACUGAUAGUGACAAGGUGCCCACAACUAGUCUGGACCUGUCUGCAUAAACAACAUCCAGAAGAGACAAGUUAUGUCAGAGGAAGAGGACAUGCUGAUUGGCAAAAUCCACAAGCCCCAUUCUUUGAGCUUGGGGUAGGAUGAGGCUCCCCUGAAUUACAAAGGAUGUAAGUGGGAGGAGCACUUGUGUUAAGAGGGUGAAAGUGGUCUCUGGGUAGGAGUGCCAGGAUGUUUUUGGGUACCCAGCUCAAACUGGUGUAAACAAUAGAAACAUGUAUUACUUCAUAUGACAGGCAGUCCAAAGGUAUGGCUCAGCUCACAAGAGUCAAUUGUUGGAUACUCAAGAAUUUCGUAAGUCAGUUGUUAAACUGUUGGUAGCUUGAUAGUGUCAUGGUCAGAGCAAUUACUUUGCUUAGAGAAUGCUGACUUUGUAUUUUUAAAGUAGAAGGAAUCAGUUUCUUCAGUCAAGUGAACGUAAGGGGACUUUUGCAGGUAUUGCUUCCAGCCUUUAAAGUCCUACAUUUAAUUUCUAGCCACCAAGCUAAGCUUCUGUCUGGAGACAUUUACCAUCAAUAAAGUUAAGACCACUCUCCAUCUUCUUUUCUUCCAUAAGAAUGCUUUAAGGGAGCAAUUGACUUCCUGGCACCAAUAGUAGUCAUUUUUUAGUUGUUUUUUACUGAGAGGACAUAAAUCUUGCUGGUAACGUCAGCCCCCUUGGGAGAUGCCUCCAGUCAUCAACUGUCAGCUCCUAUGGGAGCCACAAACCCAGAAACAUGGAAGCUAGGUACCUGGGUGCUGCCAAACCAGGAGAGUACAGACUCCCUUCUUUCCAUCCUACUCUCCCUCACCUCCUCAACUCCCUCCUCCUCUUCCCCCUCUCCCACAGGACCAGUGUGAAGUCAUGGCUCUCGUGCCCUCCACUCUCUUCAACUCCAUCUCUCCUUCCUUUUUCUUCUCUUUUUCUCCACCUCAUGCUUCUGUUGUGUACUUUCCUUCUCUCUCUCUUUCGAAUUUUCUUAGGAAGGAGGCCUUGGUGAGAGGGAGUGUGAUUCUUCCUCCUCUCCACAUCCAGUGUGUCACCAGGUCCUGUUGAUUUGACUUCCUAAAUACUCUUGAAUCCAUCCAGUUUUGUCUGUGCAUUCAAGACCGUUACCCUGUUCCUGGCCACAUGCUCACCUUGGAUUAUUGCAGCAGCUUCUUAACUGGUCUUGUUUUCACUCUUGUGCCUCCAAUCCACACUCCAGACAGCAGCCAGCAUGAUCUUUCUCAAUGGAAAAUUUGAUUAUGUUGCUUCCCUGCUUAAAAUCCUCCCAUGGCUUCCUAUGCUCUUAGAGUAGAGUCUACACUGGGUUUAUAAGGCCCUCUGAGACCUGGGCAUAUGCACCUUUCUAGUUCCCUUUCUGAACACUUUUCCCUCUCCCACUCUAAAGCCCCAGCCAUGUCAAACCACUUUUUGUCCCUCAAAGCUGCUGGGCUAUCCUUCCUUGCCUCCGAGUUUUUCUCUUCUUGCUUCUUCCUCCCAUUUUGCCUUGCUACCACCAAUUUAUCCUUGAGGUCUCAGCUUUAAAUAUCACUUUUUAUGGAAUUCAUAUCCUGAUGCUGUCUAAACCAUACACCUCUGACGUGUUCACAUACAAUGCCAUUUUAUAGAUAGUUGUUUAACUGUCUCUCCCUUGCUAAAAUCAGGAAAUCAUGAUUAACACAGAGUAGGUAUUCUUUCAAUCAACAUUUCUUAAGCGAAUCCAUUAAUGAAGGAAUAAAUGUAUGCCCAAGUCAUUUGUGUGUCUUUGUGACCAGCAUUUGGUAGGAGUUAUAGUGAAUGCUAGAAAGGCUGAUCUUUUUCCUUAAAAAAUGAUCAUGUUGUUAAAUUAUCAGAGUAUCCAAAGCCCUUCAAGAUUCUUCCCCUCCCUCUGUGUCAUUCCAACCCUCUUUCUCACUGCUUCCUCAAUGCCCCCCACCUUCUUGUUUCUAACACCAUUACACUCAGUCGAAAUCUUGCCCUGACUGCUUGUACCCUGUGCUCCCCACCAAAAAGAACAUCUAGCCAAAUUCCACCCCUCCUCAAAGGCCCAGGGAAAGAACUCCUUCAAGAGGCCCUCACUAAGUCUCUGCAAGCCUCAAUUCUCUUCUGAAGUCAUCCGUGACUGCCUUUAGGAACACCCCUGGCAUUCCAGCAAGCACCUUAUACUACUUGAUUUGUCAUGUGUAUGUUGAUAUGUCAUGUAUAUCUUGUCCCCCUAUAUACGCUGUAAGGUCCUUCAGGGCAAGAAACAAACCAAAAAGAAGUGAUUAAGAGGACCAGCUCUGAAGACAGUGCAUUUGGAUCUCUGCCAUCCCUUGAUUUGAGAGCUUGCCACCUUGGGCAAGUCACUGAACCUCUCUGAGCCUCAGUUUCCUGACUUCUAGAAGAGAGAUGAUAAUAAUAAUAUCUUCCAUGUAGUUUUGCUCUGAGGAUUAAAUGAGAUACUCCCACUGGAGUACCUGGAAGGCGGCUGACACAUGCAUUAUUCGUAAUAUCCAAGAUGUGGAAGCAACCCAAGUGCCCAGCUACAGAUGAAUGGAUAAAGAAGAUGUGGUAUAUAUACACAAUGGAAUACUACUCGGCCAUAAGAAAUGAUGAAAUUGUGCCAUUUGUGACAACGUGGAUGGACCCUGAGAGUAUUAUGCUAAGUGAAAUAAGUCAGACAGAGAAAGCCAAAUACCAUAUGAUUUCACUCAUAUGUGGAAGAUAAACAAACACCUGGAUAAGAAGAACAGAUUAGUGGUUACCAGAGGAAAAGGGGGUGGAGGGAGGGUGGAAGGGGUAGAGGGGCGCAUGUGUAUGGUGAUGGAUAAAAACUAGACUAUUGGUGGUGAACACGAUGCAGUCUAUACAGAAACUGAAAUAUAAUAUUGUACACCUGAAAUUUACACAAUGUUAAAAGCCAAUAUGACCUCAAUAAAAAAAUGGAGUAAAAAAAUACAAGUAUGCAGUAGAACAUAGUGAAAUGGCCAUGAGGGGGCAGUCAAAGAUUGUGAAGAAUGAAAUGGUCAUGUGGAAAAGGAUAAGACUCCCCUCAUUUCAUGUUUUCCUUUUGCCCCGUUCUUAUGAUACUGUAACAAAUGUGAUGGGAAGGAAAGGCCAUCAAUGCAAGCAACAUGUUCUAGCCACCCAAGCAAAUGACACUGAAGUGAGAGUAGAAAGAAAGCAUUUCUUUUCCUAUGUGGCAUCCCCCUACCACCCACCACAAACUCCUCUGUCUGAAGUAUACAGCUCAGACUCUGCGUUGCAGGAACUUUAGAUUUGUCUCCUCCAUCUGGCACCCAACGCUCUCUCCUCAGUCAGCUCCCAACCUAGCUUAUCUCAUUUGAAAUUCUUCCCAACAAUUUCAACAAACUAAACAGUCCUGCCACCGGACUUAAUGAUUGCCGUUCCUUAGACUCCUUUUGACCUGGAAUUCUCUUCUCCCCAUCCACAAAGGUCAAAUACACCCCUCUUUUGAGGCUUUGUUAGAGGGCACAUCUUUCAUGAAGCCCUCCCUGAUGUCUCAGUCUAAAGACACCUUUCUUACUCUAGCAUCCUUGGAGCUUGGCUUCAUCUGUUUAUCAGGGCUAAUGUGCCUCCUUUAUUUUUCGGAGAUUUGAUUAGAGAUGAUGGUGUAAAGUACGUCACAAAGUGCCUGGCUCACUCGAACAUGACUCUGUUAUAAUCAUCACUCUCAUUGUAAUUAACCAUGUACAAAGCUUAUCACCCUGAAAGCAGGAGAGUACGGGUUAUGUGUGACUAAUCUUGUCAUGUAAGUAUUCAAGAAAAGUUUGCUGCACAAAUAACCAUGCAAAUUAGUGAGCCUGUAAGUUCCUAAUUCAUCCCUGAAACAACAUAGGGGGCACAUGACUCCUUGUGUUUUUGUGAUUAUGAUUCUGAAGUACAGCCCAGAAAAUAUAGUCACUGUUUUUUCCCCUAAUUAUGAAGCCAUUACACAGUCAUUUAGAAAAUUCAAGCAACACAGAAAAGUUUAGAAAAGAAAGCACAAAUUAACCCAAUCUCACUGAGCAGAAGUAACCACUCUCAGUAAUUUCCAGAUAUCUAUGUACACACACAAACACAGUUAAAAAUGACCUACCAUAUGUGCUUUAUAAUCUGCUUUUUACUCAACAGUGGGUCAUGGAUUUUUUUCCAUAUUAAUAAAUAUAGAUAAUUCCUUUUUAAUAUUUCUCCAAAAUGUUACAUCCUUUUUAGGUACUUAGUAUUUCACCAUUUUGAGGUACCAUGC
This 5889-nucleotide long non-coding RNA is filed under the name Equus caballus (horse). Its description in RNAcentral is "lncRNA (ENSECAG00000044063.1)". Lineage: Eukaryota; Metazoa; Chordata; Mammalia; Perissodactyla; Equidae. The record is from RNAcentral.